RNAcentral lists this ribosomal RNA (320 nucleotides) under uncultured eukaryote. Its description in RNAcentral is "partial 18S ribosomal RNA". It matches the Rfam family "Eukaryotic small subunit ribosomal RNA", at positions 1470 to 1796 of the family's 1831-position model. The record is from RNAcentral.
CCCUUAGAUGUUCUGGGCCGCACGCGCGCUACACUGAACAGUUCAACAAGUCUUAACCUUGGCCGAUAGGUCUGGGUAAUCUUUGAACGCUGUUCGUGAUUGGGAUAGACCUUUGCAAUUAUGGGUCUUCAACGAGGAAUUCCUAGUAAACGCAAGUCAUCAGCUUGCAUUGAUUACGUCCCUGCCCUUUGUACACACCGCCCGUCGCAGCUACCGAUUGAAUGGUCCGGUGAAAUCUCGGGACGGCGGCUUGGUCGCUUGCGUCCGACUGCUGAAACUUGAUUAAACCAUAUCAUUUAGAGGAAGGUGAAGUCGUAACA